AUGAGGCCUUUUGGCGAAGCCAAGUCAAUUUCGGGCCACCAAACCCUGCAACUGAGGAAAAGGCCCUAUGGAGUAAAGGGAAGCGUGUACGUUGUCACACUCCCCGCCCUCCAAAGGUGCCUAGAGUACGGGCCAUACGCAGCAGAGCGACGCCCCAGGAGCGGAUUCCCCACGAGCAGGGGGACAGGAGACAGCCAUCUCUAGGCACAUCAUGACCUACAGGCAACACCGGCGAGACCCAGGAAGGUAACCCGAUUGGGAGUCAGAGGAUCCAUGGUACCCGCAGCCUCUCGGACUUCAUAUUCAUCAUUUUCUAAAGAAAGGGUAAGGGAUCUCUUUUAUGCAACGGAAAAAAAUAAUCAAAACGGUGUAAGUAGUUGGACCCUUUGGCAACUACUUACUGUUUGGAAAUUAUCAGUCAAAAGAAGAGCAAGUAAGGACGUCCUUUGA
RNAcentral lists this ribosomal RNA (450 nucleotides) under Triticum aestivum (bread wheat). RNAcentral describes it as "partial small subunit ribosomal RNA". The record is from RNAcentral. Lineage: Eukaryota; Viridiplantae; Streptophyta; Magnoliopsida; Poales; Poaceae.